GCGCGUGUAGCUCAAUGGUGGAGCCCCGAGCUUAUACCUCGGUGGAUGUAGGUUCGAGUCCUACCACGCGCA
RNAcentral lists this transfer RNA (72 nucleotides) under Candidatus Nomurabacteria bacterium. RNAcentral describes it as "tRNA-Ile". It matches the Rfam family "tRNA". From Rfam's summary of the family: Transfer RNA (tRNA) molecules are approximately 80 nucleotides in length. Their secondary structure includes four short double-helical elements and three loops (D, anti-codon, and T loops). Lineage: Bacteria; Candidatus Nomuraibacteriota. The record is from RNAcentral.